Long non-coding RNA from Daucus carota subsp. sativus, 1394 nucleotides. RefSeq lists it as uncharacterized. The transcript is spliced from 2 exons. Lineage: Eukaryota; Viridiplantae; Streptophyta; Magnoliopsida; Apiales; Apiaceae. The record is from RefSeq and is a predicted model, not a curated record.
GUUAAUAAGUUCUGCAAUUGAUUUGUAUGUCCUAUAAUUAAGUGAUCAAUGAUAGUAAUUUGUGUUCCCAGUAUGUUUUUGUUGAAUUGGGUGUCCUGCAACUAAUUUUUAUUUGAUAGGUUGUCAUCUCCUCUUUGUAAUUGAGUUAUGCCCUUGAUUGUUAUUUGGAGGACAAAGAAAGCAUUUUUAUUUUUUGUGUGGAUACAUGAACCGAAAAUACUAUUGGUGAGAAAGUGAUGUCUUUAGAGUUCUGCAGAACGUAUAAUUUCUGCAAUUGAUUUGCAUGUCCUGUAAGUGUUCUGCAAUUGAUCAUGUCCUGUAAGUGAUUGAUAGAUGAUGGUAAUUUGUGUUCCUAGUAGGCUAGUACGUUCUUGUUGAAUUGGGUAUCCUGCAACUGAUUUUAAUAUGAUGGGUUUUAAUCUCUUCUUUGUAAUUGAGUUAUGCACUUGAUUGUUAUUUGCAGGACAAAGAAAGCAUUUUCAUUUUUUUGUGUGGAUAUAUGAACCGAAAUUACAAUUGGUGAGAAAGUGAUGUCUUUAGACGAUGCAGAACGUAUAAGUUAUGCAGAAGUAUAAAUUCUGCAAUUGAUUUUCAUGUCCUGUAAGUGUUCUGCAAUUGUUUUGCAUGUCCUGUAAGUGUUCUGCAAUUGAUUUGCAUGUUUAUUUUUUUGUGGCUAUAUGACUCGAUAUUGCUAUUUGUGAGAAAGUGAUGUCUGUAGACGAUGCAGAAUGUAUGGUUACAUUAUGUGAAGCAUGUGUUGCAGGAUACUAUUAAAAUCCCUGGCUUGUCUUGGUUGUGUGUAUGCUUGAAUUAGCGGACAACUUUUAGAAUGUUAUAGAAUCUGUAUAAAACUUACGUUUGGCAUAAGUCAAAUAUAAAAAAGAGAAUAGCGAUUUGGUAGGACAUUUAGAUAUGAGACAUGUCUGGUUAGUUGUAGACAGUAGUGAAUAUCUAGUAUUAUUCAUACAUGUGUUUUUAUGUGAAUUAUGAAAAUGUAAUUGACUGAGAACUCUUCGUAAUGAGGCACUUGGAAUCUUACAUGGGAAUGCAGCAUCGUGGAAGAGUGGCCUUCGUCCUGAGAUGGAAAAUCAAAGCAGUGUCCUCCACAAGCUCAGAGUAAUAUAUGCACAAUGCUCACAUGGUCUGAGAACAAAAGAAGAUGGACCGUGCUUAAAAAGAUGGUGCAGUUUAGAACAAAAAAAUUGUGUGAAUAAUUCUGUAAUCAAUCAUGUUAUUGAUCCCACGUUCAUUGGUUCUUUUAGAACAAGUUGAUAUUUGAGUUGUUUGGAUUGAAUGGAAUGAUUUUAUUUAUUUCUAAACUCUUGUAAGGUUGACAAUGUCAAUGGUUUAGCAGGAUUUAUAUUAAUUAGUAGAAGGCUGUGUUGUUUCUGUGA